RNAcentral lists this ribosomal RNA (468 nucleotides) under uncultured bacterium. RNAcentral describes it as "partial 16S ribosomal RNA". It matches the Rfam family "Bacterial small subunit ribosomal RNA", at positions 28 to 507 of the family's 1533-position model. The record is from RNAcentral.
GACGAACGCUGGCGGCGUGCUUAACACAUGCAAGUCGAACGGAAAGGCCCUGCUUUUGUGGGGUGCUCGAGUGGCGAACGGGUGAGUAACACGUGAGUAACCUGCCCUUGACUUUGGGAUAACUUCAGGAAACUGGGGCUAAUACCGGAUAGGAGCUCCUGCUGCAUGGUGGGGGUUGGAAAGUUUCGGCGGUUGGGGAUGGACUCGCGGCUUAUCAGCUUGUUGGUGGGGUAGUGGCUUACCAAGGCUUUGACGGGUAGCCGGCCUGAGAGGGUGACCGGCCACAUUGGGACGGAGAUACGGCCCAGACUCCGACGGGAGGCAGCAGUGGGGAAUAUUGCACAAUGGGCGGAAGCCUGAUGCAGCAACGCCGCGUGCGGGAUGACGGCCUUCGGGUUGUAAACCGCUUUCGCCUGUGACGAAGAGUGAGUGACGGUAAUGGGUAAAGAAGCACCGGCUAACUACGUG